This 609-nucleotide long non-coding RNA is filed under the name Dermacentor andersoni. RNAcentral describes it as "uncharacterized LOC126527276". The record is from RNAcentral. Lineage: Eukaryota; Metazoa; Arthropoda; Arachnida; Ixodida; Ixodidae.
GACGCCGUCCGAUGUAGUUGUUUAAUCGUGUGUACGCUGUGCCGAGAGAAAUUGUGGUGCAUUUUGUAUGCAUUGAGAAUCACAAAACCCCUGGGACCGCGUAAUGUAGCCCGCAGUAUCCUUCGUGUGGUGCGCCGAUGUCGAAGAUAUGACCCUUCGCGCUUCCUUUGUUCCGGGCUCAUGAACAGGAUCUCCUCCUCUGGCACUGUCGCAUCGUAUCGCGCUGUACGGAAGAAUUUGGUGAAAGUUGUGCUCUUACGUCCUGUAGUUGAUCCGCAAUUCAACAGUGUGUGCGCCGGAAGGACCGUUGGUGCAGUCGAUGCCGCGGCACCUGUGACGCUAAAAGGAGCGUUUUCCGAGUACGCCUAGAAAGGGAUGGCAAGAUUUUGUGAACCAGAGGCACCUCCACAUAUGCACCUGCGGCACUUCUGCAGCCUCAACAGCACGGAAAAGUACCUGAUGUGCAUGCUGUGACAAGCUGCUGUAGGUAUGGCUGGACCUGGAGAAGAAGUGUAAGCAGACCAUGCUAUGUUGCUGAUCUGCGCUGAUCUCCACAUCCAAGUUGGUCCCGCGACAGUUGGGCACCAUUGUGCCUUGCUUCAUUGACAA